This 202-nucleotide long non-coding RNA is filed under the name Elaeis guineensis (African oil palm). RNAcentral describes it as "long non-coding RNA (EGUI_LNC069921)". The record is from RNAcentral. Lineage: Eukaryota; Viridiplantae; Streptophyta; Magnoliopsida; Arecales; Arecaceae.
GCGUGCAAAGUGGGUUGGCGCAAGGGAGAAGAGUCUUAUUCUAAUAAAGACUCUUAAUUUUCUUAUUUGAAUCCAAACUAAAUCACAUCUGGUUUAGUCCAAAUAAAAUAUAUAAAAUCUAAUCUAAUUAUAUUUAUAAAUUUUUAAUAAAAUUAAAAAUUGAUUGAACCAAAGUUCUGAUCAAAUCAGAGAUUAUUCUCCC